AUACGUAGGGGGCGAGCGUUGUCCGGAAUUACUGGGCGUAAAGGGCGUGUAGGCGGGGGAGCAAGUCAGAUGUGAAAUUCCACGGCUUAACUGUGGCGCUGCAUCUGAAACUGUUUCUCUUGAGUGCUGGAGAGGAAAGUGGAAUUCCCAGUGUAGCGGUGAAAUGCGUAGAGAUUGGGAGGAACACCAGUGGCGAAGGCGGCUUUCUGGACAGUAACUGACGCUGAGGCGCGAAAGCGUGGGGAGCAAACAGGAUUAGAUACCCUGGUAGUCCACGCCGUAAACGAUGGAUACUAGGUGUAGGAGGUAUCGACCCCUUCUGUGCCGGAGUUAACACAAUAAGUAUCCCGCCUGGGGAGUACGGCCGCAAGGCUGAA
This 377-nucleotide ribosomal RNA is filed under the name uncultured bacterium. RNAcentral describes it as "bacterial SSU rRNA". It matches the Rfam family "Bacterial small subunit ribosomal RNA", at positions 523 to 898 of the family's 1533-position model. The record is from RNAcentral.